CAGUUUCAAUUACCCAGAGCAGAACUUUAUAAAUAUUUGCAAAUUACACCCUACCCAUUUUCACACGAACAGUGGCAACCCUUGAGAGUGCUCUCCCCAGAUCAGAGGGAUGUUGGCAGAGGGAAUUCUGAAGGUUAAGAAUUCAGGAGAUAUUUCAAAAUCCUCUUCUUAAUUAGAAGAAGCAAAGCCUCCUCUGCUGUGCAUAGACGGGCACAAGAGCUACAGAUAGAAAUUAAAGAGGGUCAUCAGAGAGAAACUCUGCCAGAGCGUUCGCGUCGCAACACAUACCAUGAAAGAAAUCCCAACAGGAAGAGAUUCCACCCCUGCCCAGCCUUCACUAUCCAGUGGGGACACCACAAUUGCACUUAUAAUCAGAGUAAAAAGGACCCAUUCAUAUAUACUUGUCUUGUGAGAAGAGACUGUUUUGGAAAUGAGUGCCUUUGUAUACAAGGAAGAUUUCUUUGGGCUGGGGGCAUCUCAUUUUCCUUGCUGGGGCCGAAAGAAACCUAAGGAUCAUAAUUGCUGCCAUGCUAAAACGCAUCAAGUCAUGAUAGCUGUAGAGACAGCAACCCACCCCAGAUAAUCUGAUAAAAAUAGCUAAGAUACAUUGGGAAUGGAAUCCAUCACCACCUCGGUGAAGCCGCAGGAAUGUCUUUCCAUUGUAAAUGUGCUCCAUACGACAAUGCCAGCUCUCACAGGAGCGAUAGUAAACCAUAAAUCAUGCUAACUAGUAACAGAACCCACCAAACAAUGCAAAAUGCCUAUAAAUUGAGGCUUGACUCUACAUUCAGAGAGCUGUGUCUAAACUUGGAGCAUUUGGGAGGGUGGCUGGAGGCAAGAGCCAAGUCUCUGCUCAGAUCCUGGGAGGAGGACUUAAAGCUGGGACACUACCUAUCAGGAGCCCACAAAGAGCCUUGCUAAUGGCAGCUGCCCCUGGAGCACCAGCUCAGUGAGUUAAGCAACGGACCGGAGCUCGCCUGGCUGCGGUGCGGACCAAGGCUGGGCCUGCCAGGCCUCCUGCCCUGCUACAAACUGUGUCACCUGCUCAUGAGGCCUGUAACACGGCUCCUCAGACUGAAGUUUUCGCCUGGAGCUGCAUUGGAUGACGUAAAAGCCUGACCUUGCCAAAACCCUCGAUGCCACCUAGCUCCACAGCCUCAGUGAGCACCUAAAACAACCACUGCCUCCUCCCAGCUCAUUCAGCUUCACCAUGCAUGCAGCACAAAGAAAAUAUAAGUAAAUAAAAAAAUCUUUUGGGAGCUUGAGAUGCUCA
RNAcentral lists this long non-coding RNA (1273 nucleotides) under Anser brachyrhynchus (Pink-footed goose). RNAcentral's name for it is "lncRNA (ENSABRG00000004405.1)". Lineage: Eukaryota; Metazoa; Chordata; Aves; Anseriformes; Anatidae. The record is from RNAcentral.